AUAUCAAUAAGCGGAGGAAAAGAAACCAACAGGGAUUGCCUCAGUAACGGCGAGUGAAGCGGCAAAAGCUCAAAUUUGAAAUCCUUCGGGAGUUGUAAUUUGAAGGUGAGAUGGCGACUUCAAGUCUGGCUAAAGUCCCUUGGAACAGGGCGCCUUAGAGGGUGAGAGCCCCGUACAACCAGUUCUUGAAGUCAUAUGCUUUCUCUCCAAAGAGUCGAGUUGUUUGGGAAUGCAGCUCAAAGUGGGUGGUAAAUUCCAUCUAAAGCUAAAUACCGGCGAGAGACCGAUAGCGAACAAGUACCGUGAGGGAAAGAUGAAAAGCACUUUGAAAAGAGAGUGAAACAGUACGUGAAAUUGUUGAAAGGGAAGGGCUUGCAAGCAGACACAACCCUCGUGGUUGGGCCAGCAUCGGUUGCUAGGGGUGGAUAAGGCGGCGGGAAUGUAGCUUCCUCGGAAGUAUUAUAUCCCGCUGAGAUACACCCACCGGCGACCGAGGCCUGCGAUUCUAAAUCAAGGAUGCUGGCGUAAUGGUUGCAAGCCGC
Molecule: ribosomal RNA, 542 nt
Filed under: Sungouiella dosseyi
Lineage: Eukaryota; Fungi; Ascomycota; Pichiomycetes; Serinales; Metschnikowiaceae
Description: eukaryotic LSU rRNA
Rfam family: Eukaryotic large subunit ribosomal RNA
Source: RNAcentral